Homo sapiens (human) is the source of this 688-nucleotide long non-coding RNA. RefSeq lists it as uncharacterized. Lineage: Eukaryota; Metazoa; Chordata; Mammalia; Primates; Hominidae. The record is from RefSeq and is a predicted model, not a curated record. The transcript has 3 exons.
UCCAAGUUUCUGUGUUUUUUUCAUACUAGGUCGUUAACUAGAGUAUCUUAGCCUUCAUCUUUAACUCAAAUACUGCGGCCCUCAAGACUACCCCCAGGCUCAAUGACUUCCUAGAAGGCCCAUGAUUCAGCAAAGUGGUUAUGCUCACAACAACAGUUUAUUACGGCGAAAGCAUGCAGAUUGAACCCAGCAUAUGGAAGCAGUGCACAGGGUGGGCCCAGGAGAGUUCCAGUUGUCCUCUCCCGCUGGAGUCACAGGAAAUGAGAUCAGUGUAUUGAAGAGACAUCUGUACGCCCAAGUUCACUGCAGCACUAUUCACAGCAGCCAUGCCAUGGAAUCAACUCAAGUGUCCACCAGUGGAUGCAUGGAGAAAGAAAAUGUGGCAUCUGUAUACACACACGGGAGUAUUAUUCAGCCUUAAAGAGAAGGUAGGAUCCAGGUCGGCUAAGCAUGCUGGCUUCAACAGCAGGGAUGUGAGGUGAGGGAGGACAGCGAUGCAGGAGGAAUGGAGAUGCGUCUAACACGGGGUCAGACGGCAGAUUCGAGGGCUCCCUGAUGAAUGAGCAAACGCUGGCUCCAGCAUAUUUACUGCGUCACCUGUAAGUGCAUUCCUUGCUGUGCAAACUUGCUAAGUAUUUUUAGUAAGGCCAAAAGUUCCCCUAAGCACCGUAAUUAUCUCGGUUGGAGA